This 72-nucleotide transfer RNA is filed under the name Camelus ferus (Wild Bactrian camel). It matches the Rfam family "tRNA". Rfam says of the family: Transfer RNA (tRNA) molecules are approximately 80 nucleotides in length. Their secondary structure includes four short double-helical elements and three loops (D, anti-codon, and T loops). The record is from Rfam by way of RNAcentral. Lineage: Eukaryota; Metazoa; Chordata; Mammalia; Artiodactyla; Camelidae.
GAGGGUAUAGCUCAGUGGUAGGGCAUGUGCUUCGCGUGCACGAGGUCCUAGGUUCAAUCCCCAGUAUUUCCA